UAGCAAUAUCAUAGUGGCGCACGGGUGCGUAACACGUAUGCAACCUACCUUAUACUGAGGGAUAGCCUUUCGAAAGAGAGAUUAAUACCUCAUAACACAUUGAACUGGCAUCAGUUUAUUGUUAAAGAUUUAUUGGUAUAAGAUGGGCAUGCGUCCAAUUAGUUAGUUGGCGAGGUAACGGCUCACCAAGACGAUGAUUGGUAGGGGAACUGAGAGGUUAAUCCCCCACACUGGCACUGAGAUACGGGCCAGACUCCUACGGGAGGCAGCAGUAGGGAAUAUUGGGCAAUGGAGGCAACUCUGACCCAGCCAUGCCGCGUGCAGGAAGAAGGCGUUAUGCGUUGUAAACUGCUUUUAUAUAGGAAGAAAUAGACCUUGCGAGGUAAGUUGACGGUACUAUAUGAAUAAGCACCGGCUAACUCCGUGCCAGCAGCCGCGGUAAUACGGAGGGUGCAAGCGUUGUCCGGAUUUAUUGGGUUUAAAGGGUGCGUAGGCGGUUUAUUAAGUCAGUGGUGAAAGACGGUCGCUCAACGAUUGCAGUGCCAUUGAUACUGGUAGACUUGAGU
Molecule: ribosomal RNA, 566 nt
Filed under: uncultured bacterium
Lineage: Bacteria
Description: bacterial SSU rRNA
Rfam family: Bacterial small subunit ribosomal RNA
Source: RNAcentral